CAGUCGCCGCGGGAAUACGUAGGGUGCAAGCGUUAAUCGGAAUUACUGGGCGUAAAGCGUGCGCAGGCGGUUCGCUAAGACAGAUGUGAAAUCCCCGGGCUUAACCUGGGAACUGCAUUUGUGACUGGCGGGCUAGAGUAUGGCAGAGGGGGGUAGAAUUCCACGUGUAGCAGUGAAAUGCGUAGAGAUGUGGUGGAAUGCCGAUGGCGAAGGCAGCCCCCUGGGCCAAUACUGACGCUCAUGCACGAAAGCGUGGGGAGCAAACAGGAUUAGAUACCCGCGUAGUCCCUGUCUCUUAUAC
RNAcentral lists this ribosomal RNA (301 nucleotides) under uncultured bacterium. Its description in RNAcentral is "partial 16S ribosomal RNA". It matches the Rfam family "Bacterial small subunit ribosomal RNA", at positions 509 to 807 of the family's 1533-position model. The record is from RNAcentral.